This 2264-nucleotide ribosomal RNA is filed under the name Nepenthes x hookeriana. RNAcentral describes it as "bacterial LSU rRNA". The stretch from base 840 to 2264 matches the Rfam family "Bacterial large subunit ribosomal RNA". Lineage: Eukaryota; Viridiplantae; Streptophyta; Magnoliopsida; Caryophyllales; Nepenthaceae. The record is from RNAcentral.
GGACCUUCCUCUUGAAAUCUCAAAACAAACAUUCUGUGUCGCUCCAUCCCCGCAGGGGCAGAGACACCCCCGCUAUUCUCGGCUGUGUACCAGAUCUUGGGAAGUCGGAAUAGGAGAGCACUCAUUCUUGGGGUGGGCUUACUACUUAAUGCUUUCAGCAGUUAUCCGCUCCACUUUGGCUACCCAGCGUUUUACCGUGGCACGAUAACUGGUUACACCCAGAGGUGCGUCCUUCCCGGUCCUCUCUACUAGGGAAAGGUCCUCUCAAUCUUCUAAACGCCCACACCGGAUAUGGACCGAACUGUUCACGACGUUUGAACCCAGCUCACGUUACCGUUUUAAUGGGCGAAACAGCCCAACCCUUGGAACUACUACAGCCCAGGUGGCGAAGAGCCGACAUCGAGGGCCCAACCUUCCCGUCGAUGUGAACUCUUGGGGAAGAUCAGCCUGUUUAUCCCUUAGAAGUAACUUUUAUUCCGUUGAGCGUACGGCCCUUCCACUCGGCGCCGCCGAUCACUAAGGCGGACUUUUCGUCCCUGCCUCGACGGUCGGGUCUUGCAGUCAAAGCUCCCUUCUGCCUUUUGCACUCGAGGCCAAUCUCCGUCCGGCCCGAGGAAACCUUUGCACGCCUACCGUUACCUUUUGGCGAGCCUAACGCCCCAUAGAAAACUGUCUACCUGAGGAAUGUCCCUCGGCCCGUAGGUCCUGACACAAGGUUAGUAAUUCUAGCUCUUCCAGAGUGGAUAUCUCACUUUAUGGCUCGGGCCCCCCGGAAGGGGGCCUUCUUUUGCCCUCCACCUUAAGCUGCCGCAGGAAAGGCCCAAGCCAUCCAGGCGAACAGUGAAGCUUCAUAGGGUCUUUCUGUCCAGGUGCAGGUAGUCUCGCAUCUCACAGACAUGUAUUUGCACCGAGCCUUCCUCCCCGAGACAGUGCCCAGGAUCGUUACGGCCUUUCGUGCGGGUCGAACUUACCCGACAAGGAAUUUCCGCUACCUUAGACCUUAUUGUUCACGCCCGCCGGUUCACCGGGCUUUCGGUCGCCGGCUCCCCUGUUCAUCAGGUUCACCAACUCCGACCUUCCCACUGGGCAGGCGUCAGCCCCCAUUACAUGUCUUACGACUGCGAGACCUGUGUUUUGGUAAACCAGUCGUCCCGGGCUCUUGGUCCAAGGAAGUGGGUUGACCUGAUGACGGGGAGCCGGCGACCGAAGCCCCGGUGAACGGCGGCCGUAACAAUAACGGUCCUAAGUAGCGGAAAUUCCUUGUCGGUAAGUUCGACCCGCACGAAAGCGUAACGAUCUGGGCACUGUCUCGGGCGAGGCUUCGGUGAAAUAGACAUGUCUGUGAAGAUGCGGACUACCUGCACCUGGACAGAAAGACCCUGAAGCUUCACUGUUCCCUGGGAUUGGCUUUGGCCUUUCCUGCGCAGCUUAGGUGGAGGGCAAGAAGGCCCCCUUCGGGGGGGCCCGAGCCAAUCAGUGAGAUACCACUCUGGAAGAGCUAGAAUUCUAACCUUGUGUCAGGACCUACGGCCGAGGGACAGUCUCAGGUAGACAGUUCUAUGGGCGUUAGGCCUCCCAAAAGGUACGGAGGCGUGCAAAGGUUUCCUCGGGCCGGACGGAGAUUGGCCCUCGAGUGCAAAGGCGAGGGAGCUUGAUGCAAGACCCACCCGUCGAGCAGGGACGAAAGUCGCCUUAGUUGAAUCCGGCGGCGCCGAGUGGAAGGGCCGUCGCUCAACGGAUAAAGUUACUCUAGGGAUAAACAGGCUGAUCUUCCCCAAGAGUUCACAUCGAGGGAAGGUUUGCACCUCGAUGUCGGUCUUCGCCACCUGGGGUGCGGUUGCCUGUUCGCAGCAGUGAGCGUUCAGAAGUUCGUGAGACAGUUCGGUUCCAUAACCGGUGUGGGCGUUAGAGCAUGAAGGGACCUUUCCCUAGUACGAGAGGACCGGAAGGACGCACCUCUGGACAGUAUCGUGCCCACGGUAAACGCUGGGUAGCCAAGUGCGAGCGGAAUAACUGCUGAAAAGCAUCUAAGUAGUAAGCCCACCCAAGAUGGAGUGCUCUCCUAUUCCGCUUCCCCAAGCCUCUGGUAGCACAGCCGAGAUAGCGAGGGUUCUCUGCCCUGCGGGGAUGGAGCGACAGAAGUUUUGAGAAUUCAAGAGAAGGUCACGGCGAGACGAGCCGUUUAUCAUUACGAAUUACGAUAGGUUCAAGUGAAGUGCAGUGAUGUAUGCAGCUGAGGCAUCCUAACAGACCGAUAGACUUGA